GCGCGGUUAGCUCAGUGGUAGAGCACUUCCUUGACGUGGAAGGGGUCGGAGGUUCGAGUCCUCCACCGCGCACCA
Molecule: transfer RNA, 75 nt
Filed under: Thermus sp.
Lineage: Bacteria; Thermotogati; Deinococcota; Deinococci; Thermales; Thermaceae
Also listed under: 3 other names
Description: tRNA-Val
Rfam family: tRNA
About the family: Transfer RNA (tRNA) molecules are approximately 80 nucleotides in length. Their secondary structure includes four short double-helical elements and three loops (D, anti-codon, and T loops).
Source: RNAcentral